AGUAAAAAUAUCUUUGGUUGGGGCAACCACGAAGAAAAAUAAACCUUCGUCUUAAAAAAAAAAUUACAAUUUUAAAAUUUAUAAAAAAAAGAUCCAGAAAAUACUGAUCAAAGAAAAAAGUUACCGCAGGGAUAACAGCGUUAUUCUCUUUAAGAGUUCAUAUUGACAAGAGAGUUUGCGACCUCGAUGUUGGACCGGGGCACCCAAGAGGUGUAGCAGCCUCUAAAGGUAGGUCUGUUCGACCUUUAAAGCCCUACGUGAUCUGAGUUCAGACCGACGUAAGUCAGGUCAGUUUCUAUCUA
RNAcentral lists this ribosomal RNA (302 nucleotides) under Nanometra cf. johnstoni ME14. RNAcentral describes it as "partial 16S ribosomal RNA". It matches the Rfam family "Bacterial large subunit ribosomal RNA", at positions 2257 to 2643 of the family's 2925-position model. The record is from RNAcentral. Lineage: Eukaryota; Metazoa; Echinodermata; Crinoidea; Comatulida; Antedonidae.